GGCUAAAUAGCAUAUUGGUAAUGCAUUGGAUUGCAAAUCCAAUAAAAUUGGUUCAAUUCCAAUUUUGGCUU
This 71-nucleotide transfer RNA is filed under the name Candidatus Carsonella ruddii CE isolate Thao2000. RNAcentral describes it as "tRNA-Cys (GCA) (tRNA-Cys-GCA-1-1)". It matches the Rfam family "tRNA". From Rfam's summary of the family: Transfer RNA (tRNA) molecules are approximately 80 nucleotides in length. Their secondary structure includes four short double-helical elements and three loops (D, anti-codon, and T loops). The record is from RNAcentral. RNAcentral also lists the same sequence under 1 other name. Lineage: Bacteria; Pseudomonadati; Pseudomonadota; Gammaproteobacteria; Oceanospirillales; Halomonadaceae.